Molecule: ribosomal RNA, 1221 nt
Filed under: Leuconostoc carnosum
Lineage: Bacteria; Bacillati; Bacillota; Bacilli; Lactobacillales; Lactobacillaceae
Description: bacterial SSU rRNA
Rfam family: Bacterial small subunit ribosomal RNA
Source: RNAcentral
UUAGUUAGUGGUGGGGUAAAGGCUUACCAAGACAAUGAUGCAUAGCCGAGUUGAGAGACUGAUCGGCCACAUUGGGACUGAGACACGGCCCAAAUUCCUACGGGAGGCUGCAGUAGGGAAUCUUCCACAAUGGGCGAAAGCCUGAUGGAGCAACGCCGCGUGUGUGAUGAAGGCUUUCGGGUCGUAAAGCACUGUUGUAUGGGAAGAAAAGUUAAGGUAGGGAAUGACCUUAGCCUGACGGUACCAUACCAGAAAGGGACGGCUAAAUACGUGCCAGCAGCCGCGGUAAUACGUAUGUCCCGAGCGUUAUCCGGAUUUAUUGGGCGUAAAGCGAGCGCAGACGGUUGGUUAAGUCUGAUGUGAAAGCCCGGAGCUCAACUCCGGAAAGGCAUUGGAAACUGGUUAACUUGAGUGCAGUAGAGGUAAGUGGAACUCCAUGUGUAGCGGUGGAAUGCGUAGAUAUAUGGAAGAACACCAGCGGCGAAGGCGGCUUACUGGACUGUAACUGACGUUGAGGCUCGAAAGUGUGGGUAGCAAACAGGAUUAGAUACCCUGGUAGUCCACACCGUAAACGAUGAACACUAGGUGUUAGGAGGUUUCCGCCUCUUAGUGCCGAAGCUAACGCAUUAAGUGUUCCGCCUGGGGAGUACGACCGCAAGGUUGAAACUCAAAGGAAUUGACGGGGACCCGCACAAGCGGUGGAGCAUGUGGUUUAAUUCGAAGCAACGCGAAGAACCUUACCAGGUCUUGACAUCCUUUGAAGCUUUUAGAAAUAGAAGUGUUCUCUUCGGAGACAAAGUGACAGGUGGUGCAUGGUCGUCGUCAGCUCGUGUCGUGAGAUGUUGGGUUAAGUCCCGCAACGAGCGCAACCCUUAUUGUUAGUUGCCAGCAUUCAGAUGGGCACUCUAGCGAGACUGCCGGUGACAAACCGGAGGAAGGCGGGGACGACGUCAGAUCAUCAUGCCCCUUAUGACCUGGGCUACACACGUGCUACAAUGGCGUAUACAACGAGUUGCCAACCUGCGAAGGUGAGCUAAUCUCUUAAAGUACGUCUCAGUUCGGACUGCAGUCUGCAACUCGACUGCACGAAGUCGGAAUCGCUAGUAAUCGCGGAUCAGCACGCCGCGGUGAAUACGUUCCCGGGUCUUGUACACACCGCCCGUCACACCAUGGAAGUUUGUAAUGCCCAAAGCCGGUGGCCUAACCGUAAGGAGGGAACCG